UUAUUUUGAAUUUAAAAGAUGGAUAAGCAUCCUAUUGUUAUCAUUUAGACCCAACCAGCAUGGCAAUCAAGAGAGAAAAACCUAGCCCCACGCGUAGAAAUCCAUCUCCUAUAACCUGGGGGGCCACUCCGUAUAAUGGAGAGGUUCCUGGGUGACAGCAUGUAACAUUUCUUCCCACUCACUCUGUCCAGCCAAAAACUCUGUUUCAUCAAUACCAACUAAGUUAUAUGUAAAGAACAAAAGAAAUAAAAAUAGAUAUAAACAACACAUAGGAAUUGUUAAGAAAAAGAUUCAAGCAACAAUGGCAUAGUUCAUAAUUAAUAUGUCAAAAGCUUCUCCAAAGUACUUUCUAAGCUUCUUACUUCUGUUAGUUGCCCUUUUUUUUUUUUGGUGAAUUACGCAAAUCCCGAACAACAAACACGAUUAGAUAAAAUUAGACAUAUAAGGAAAAUAUUAGACAAAAUUUCCAUAAAAAUUAAAAUAAUAUAUCUUCAUAAUUCAAUUAUUUAAAUUUGUUCUUGUUUUAUCCCAAUACAGUUUUUGCCUUCAAAAAUCACAUAUCUUGUUAAUUUAAUUAUUUAAAUUUAUUUUUUGUUUUAUCCAAAUACACUUUUUGCCUUCAAAAAUUAAAAGAAAAAAGAACCACAAGAAUAAAUUAGUUGCUAUUUUUCCACUUAUAAGGGAAACAAACCAUAUUAUCAUCAAAGGCAAAUAAUAUAUUUCAAAAAGAAGCUUAAAAUUCAAAAUAGUAAUAAUGUUGGACAAAGGCAACAUGUGAUUUUAUGUUUCAAUUACUAUUUACUUAGAUUUUUCAUAGGUGGCUAUCCGCUCAAGCUUGAAGGCCUAUCUGAAAUUUAAGAGAGUUUGGGUAAAAAAUAUUAGGCUCGAAAAAUAAGUUUAGAAAAAAAAUUAGACCCAAUUAAAAAUGAGUCAAGCUCGGUCUUGAACAUUCAAGGUCUAAGUUCAACCCGACUCGACCUAUUUUUAAGUUUAUAAUAUUUUAUAUUAUGUUAUUUUUAUAAAUUAUCUAAUUUAAAACAUAUUAAAAAUAAUAAUGUUAAAAUGAGUAUAUAAAAAAUUUCAAUAAAUAAAAAAUUUAUAAAAUUAUUAAACAUUAAAAUAAUAUAAUAUAAAUAUUUUAAAAAAUUAAAAAUAAUAUAAGUAGGCCUAAAAUAGGCUUGGGUUAGUCUUUUGUAAACAAGUAGGUUUAAGCAAAAUUUUAAGCCCAUAUUUAAGGUCAGGGCGAACUUGGGCAAAUAUAAAAUAUGUUAAUAUCACGCAUAGACCCAAACCCAGCCUAUGAGCACCUCUAUAUUUACUGUAUAAUUUUACUUUUAGAAUAUGAAGCAUGUAUCUAAAUUUCAUUUUUGGGUUAAAAUUUUCAAAUUAUUAACUUCUGUCCUAAAUGUAAAUUAAAUUAUAUAAAAAUGCUAAGGAAUUUUUCAAUGCAAUUUAAAGAAGAAAAAACCUAAAGGAGAGGUAGAGAAAGAGAGGACGAAAUUACCUUCCGUCCACCCUCAAUGCGGACAGGAUUUCCGCCUAGACUAAGAUAAAUAUCUUUCUUGGAAGAGAAAGAGUCCAAUGUAGGAAUUAAAUCCUGGUAUUGACAUGGCAACAAGCUUUCCCAAGCAGUAUCCAAUUCAGCAGUCGAUAAUCUGUAAAUUUUAUUAUCCAUAAUUCAAUUGGUAUUCUAACAAAUAAUAAUUCAAUCAAAAAAAUAUAAACUCACGAAUCCAAGCCCAAAUUUGAGUCACAUAGAUUAGGCGUGACGGACCUGAUCUCAAUCCCCUGGAAAAUGAGAUCACCUUUCACGAUACCGCCCUCAAUCUCCAAUGCACUCAUUUCUAGUUCCCCAUCAUCAACGCAUCCCUCAUUGAAGAACUCACCCAUCUCAACCUCUAACCACCCGUCUACUCUAGCCUUUGGGAACUGAACAUCAUCACCGGGUAUAGGUUGUUCCUCUCCUAUCUGCCAAUAUGGCCAUCUCCGUCGUUCUUUUUUUGGUUGCAAAUAGGCACUUCUUUUACUACCUUCAGUGCCAACAACUCCAACACUAAGUUUCACUGGGAAAAAUUGAAGCCCACAAAAAUUACGUACUUUGCAUACAAGGUAAGCCUUGUAGUGCGUCAUGGGUGAAAGCAUGGAGAUACUAAUCCUUCCACGGAUUUCAAACCAGCGAAAUCUCCGAAUAUAUGCUACCUCGUCAAACCUAUUUUAAAAACAAUGGAAAAUGAAUUGCCAAAGAGAAGUUCUCUUAUUCAAACACAGGUAUCCAUCAAAGAUGAAUAUGCAAGUAUUUUCUCUUAAAAGAUUUUCAAUUAUUUUGACUUUAAAAGAUGGAUAAGCAUCCUCUUGUUAUCAUUUAGACCCAACCAGCAUGGCAAGGAGGAGAGAGUAACCUAGCCCCACGCGUAGAAAUCCAUCUCCGAUACUCUGGGGGGUCACUCCCUAUAAUGGAGAGGUCCCUGGAUGACAGCAUGUAACAUUUCUUCCCACUCAUUCUUUCCAACCAAAAACUCUGUUUCA
Molecule: long non-coding RNA, 2526 nt
Filed under: Gossypium barbadense (sea-island cotton)
Lineage: Eukaryota; Viridiplantae; Streptophyta; Magnoliopsida; Malvales; Malvaceae
Description: long non-coding RNA (GBAR_LNC004772)
Source: RNAcentral